CCUACGGGAGGCAGCAGUGAGGAAUAUUGGUCAAUGGGCGAGAGUCUGAACCAGCCAAGUCGCGUGAAGGAUGACGGCCCUAUGGGUUGUAAACUGCUUUUGUCAGGGAGCAAUUGAGGCCACGUGUGGCCUUAGCGAAAGUACCUGAAGAAAAAGCAUCGGCUAACUCCGUGCCACAAGCCGCGGUAAUACGGAGGAUGCGAGCGUUAUCCGGAUUUCUGGGGUUUAAAGGGUGCGUAGGCGGAAUAUCAAGUCAGCGGUAAAAAUUCGGGCCUAAACCCCGUAGUGCCGUUGAAACUGAUCGUCUUGAGUGGGCGAGAAGUAUGCGGAAUGCGUGGUGUAGCGGUGAAAUGCUUAGAUAUCACACAGAACUCCGAUUGCGAAGGCAGCAUACCAGCGCCCAACUGACGCUGAAGCACGAAAGCGUGGGUAGCGAACAGGAUUAGAUACCCUUGUAGUC
RNAcentral lists this ribosomal RNA (460 nucleotides) under uncultured bacterium. RNAcentral's name for it is "partial 16S ribosomal RNA". It matches the Rfam family "Bacterial small subunit ribosomal RNA", at positions 338 to 795 of the family's 1533-position model. The record is from RNAcentral.